This 488-nucleotide ribosomal RNA is filed under the name uncultured bacterium. RNAcentral's name for it is "partial 16S ribosomal RNA". It matches the Rfam family "Bacterial small subunit ribosomal RNA", at positions 28 to 507 of the family's 1533-position model. The record is from RNAcentral.
GAUGAACGCUAGCGGCAGGCUUAACACAUGCAAGUCGAGGGGCAGCAUAAUGGAUAGCAAUAUCUAUGGUGGCGACCGGCGCACGGGUGCGUAACGCGUAUGCAACCUACCUUUAACAGGGGGAUAACACUGAGAAAUUGGUACUAAUACCCCAUAAUAUCAUAGAAGGCAUCUUUUAUGGUUGAAAAUUCCGAUGGUUAGAGAUGGGCAUGCGUUGUAUUAGCUAGUUGGUGGGGUAACGGCUCACCAAGGCGACGAUACAUAGGGGGACGGAGAGGUUAACCCCCCACACUGGUACUGAGACACGGACCAGACUCCUACGGGAGGCAGCAGUGAGGAAUAUUGGUCAAGGGACGCAAGUCUGAACCAGCCAUGCCGCGUGCAGGAUGACGGCUCUAUGAGUGGUAAACUGCUUUUGUACGAGGGUAAACGCAGAUACGUGUAUCUGUCUGAAAGUAUCGUACGAAUAAGGAUCGGCUAACUCCGUG